RNAcentral lists this ribosomal RNA (484 nucleotides) under uncultured bacterium. Its description in RNAcentral is "partial 16S ribosomal RNA". It matches the Rfam family "Bacterial small subunit ribosomal RNA", at positions 28 to 507 of the family's 1533-position model. The record is from RNAcentral.
AUUGAACGCUGGCGGCAUGCUUUACACAUGCAAGUCGAACGGCAGCGCGGGCUUCGGCCUGGCGGCGAGUGGCGAACGGGUGAGUAAUGCAUCGGAACGUGCCCAGUAGUGGGGGAUAGCCCGGCGAAAGCCGGAUUAAUACCGCAUACGACCUGAGGGUGAAAGCGGGGGACCGAAAGGCCUCGCGCUAUUGGAGCGGCCGAUGUCGGAUUAGCUAGUUGGUGGGGUAAAGGCUUACCAAGGCGACGAUCCGUAGCUGGUCUGAGAGGACGACCAGCCACACUGGGACUGAGACACGGCCCAGACUCCUACGGGAGGCAGCAGUGGGGGAUUUUGGACAAUGGGGGCAACCCUGAUCCAGCCAUGCCGCGUGCGGGAAGAAGGCCUUCGGGUUGUAAACCGCUUUUGUUCGGGAAGAAAUCCUCUGGGCUAAUACCCCGGGGGGAUGACGGUACCGGAAGAAUAAGCACCGGCUAACUACGUG